UCCCUGGUGGUCUAGUGGUUAGGAUUCGGGCGCUCACCGCCGCGGGUCCUGGUUCGAUUCCCCGUCAGGGAA
RNAcentral lists this transfer RNA (72 nucleotides) under Alosa alosa (allis shad). RNAcentral describes it as "tRNA-Glu". Lineage: Eukaryota; Metazoa; Chordata; Actinopteri; Clupeiformes; Clupeidae. The record is from RNAcentral.